AUUUAGGUAGCUUAACUUAAAGCAUAUCUCUGAAGAAGAUAAAAUGAUAAUUAUCCCUAAAUA
This 63-nucleotide transfer RNA is filed under the name Amynthas triastriatus. Its description in RNAcentral is "tRNA-Phe". It matches the Rfam family "tRNA". From Rfam's summary of the family: Transfer RNA (tRNA) molecules are approximately 80 nucleotides in length. Their secondary structure includes four short double-helical elements and three loops (D, anti-codon, and T loops). Lineage: Eukaryota; Metazoa; Annelida; Clitellata; Crassiclitellata; Megascolecidae. The record is from RNAcentral.